AACAUCAAAUUUUCAUUUUUGGGUGAACUAUCCCUUUAAGAUAAUUAGUUAACAUAAUUUGUUACUUUUUUAGGGAGUAACACAAUAUUAUUCCCUAAAAUUAUUCCUCUUUAUUAUUCAACAUUCUGCUAAACAUAAAAAUUUGCUAUAUAGACAUUACAAAAGUAACAUAAAUCUUAGCAUGAUUCAUAAUGUAACUUUAAGGAUCAUUGUACUUCUCGUUUUCCACUUCUGUAGAAAAACGGUAAUAACAAAGGCUAAUACAUAAAGUGAAAGUGAGUUUGUGAACUUCCUUUUUAAUUGUCUUCAUCACCACCCUUGUGAAUUACCUGUUUCUGGAGUUUGAUUCUUACUUUUCUUACUUGUGUGAUCUAUUUGUCAAUUUUGAAUUUAUUCUGAGAUUGAUACAUGGUAACUGGUUACAUGUAAUGCUUAUAGCACAGGAUUCUUCUACAGACAUGUCAGGUUGACAUUUCACCCAUUUUGAGUGCCUUCAGACAAAUUGAAAUGGCCCUGUUCAUCUUCAUAACCAUUCAGCUUUUACUGCAGGUUAAAUCACAAGGUUUGCCGCAGGCCAACCUGACAAUAUUUCCUACAUCUGCCACCUAUGGAGAAACGGUGCAGAUGGUGUGUGGAGGUCAUGAGAUGCAUCGUGUAUCUGAAUGUAUGUUCUACCCUGCAGGACAGGAGAACUUUAAAAAACCAAGUGCAUCGUGUUACCUCACUCUUACUAGCGACGAACUGAUCCUGUGGUCACAAGAUGCAGAGAGUUCACAUGUCAACAUAUCCUGCUACUAUACUGUGUAUAGCUUAGGAGAAAAUGCAACAUCUCCUCAUUCCGACACAGUCUCAGUAAGGGUCAGAGGUUUUGCUGCCAUGUCAUCUUUGCCGCCGAUCACAGAGGACAGCCCAACUACACUGACCCCCAAUGGAACCACUGAAGCAAAUUUAUCCACUGCGUCAACAAUGGACACAACAACAACAUCUUUGACUGUAACAUCCAGUACUGAAAUGAUAACAGAUCCGAUAACCAAUAUGACCAGUCUAACUACCCAUGACAGCCAGAGUUCAACAGGUCCUGCAAAUGCAUCUCUGGAAUCGUCUACAGUUACUGAAACUACAGAACAUACACCAGACCCUGAAAUACUUAAGUACUUAAAUAAGUACUUAAAUAAAAAGGUGUUUUUCUCUAUUUCUGUGGUUGCAACUGGUGGAGGAAUUGUACUGACUGGACUGUUUGGCAUCUGUUUAUACGGAUGUACACGAAGGUCAAAGGAUGAGAGGAUUUGGAUUGAAAGAAAGAGUAGAAAACAGGGAGUUCCUUUAACAAUGGCCGGUUCAGACUCAUGCCUUGGUGAGGAAGAUACAGCAUUUUACUCAACCAUCAACUCUGUACAAUCCACCUCUCAACCACAAGGAAACAGUGCAGAAUCAAAGCAAUCCAAGAUGGCUGUUUAAUGAACAAACAAAACGAUAACAAAAGAACCAGGAGUCAAAGAAAACAGAGAAUGCAGGAACACAAGAAAACACCAGAUACAUCUAACAUGUUACAUAAACGUACGACUGACGAGGAACAGGAGAAACACAAGGGCAGUUUAUACACAAGGGGUAACAAGUAACAAGAAACACCUGAGAACAAAAAAGACUAAUCAAUAAGAAAACUGCUAUUCUGAAUAAUAAUAUUCUUUACUCAGUUUUCUUUGAUGCAUUUUAAAUUUGAGAAACUGGUUUGUCAGCAUUGAAUCAAUGAGACUCUGUAAAAUCGCUGUAAAACACCUUUACUUUUCUCAAUGCAAACAAACCUUAAAGUAAACCUAGAAAUGGCUUUUUUUUGACAGUCUCGUGGCUUUUGGUAGUGCUGGUUUUCACUGGUGUUGGUUUAUUUCUGUCUGGACUCAUGGGAUUCAUCUGUCUCUGCCACUUUGACAGUUCUGAUGAUCUUCUCACAGAGGUGAACUACAGCUCCUGCCAGGUGGAAACAACAUCUCUGUUAACUUCCUCUGUGUGCUCCAAAAAACAUGGAUGAACCGCUUCAUUUCUUCACUUGUUGCACCUCUAAAGAGAAAAACAAGUACAGAAAGUAUGACAGUAUGUACAGUAUAGUACAGUGACUAAUAAUGAUCAAUGCUUACAUAUGAUUAACUGAUUAGAUUUUUGCAUGCAGCAAACUUCAAUGUAGAGCUGAUUAUUAAUAUUUAAUAGACAUUGACCGAAAUGUAAUUGUUUGCAUAUUAGUUUAUUUUAUAUUUAAAGGAUUAGUUCACUUUCAAAUGAAAAUUAUCUCAAGCUUUACUCAUCCUCAAGCCAUCCUAGGUGUAUAUGAUUUUCUUCUUUCUAAAAA
This is an RNA transcript of Megalobrama amblycephala (Wuchang bream), 2341 nucleotides long. RefSeq lists it as uncharacterized. NCBI's taxonomy places the organism in Eukaryota, Metazoa, Chordata, Actinopteri, Cypriniformes, Xenocyprididae. The record is from RefSeq and is a predicted model, not a curated record. The transcript is spliced from 17 exons.